ACUGGAAACGGUGGCUAAUACCGGAUGUGCCCUUCGGGGUGAAAGGUUAACUGCCUGUUGAUGAGCUCGCGUCUGAUUAGCUAGUUGGUGUGGUAAGAGCGCACCAAGGCGACGAUCAGUAGCUGGUCUGAGAGGACGAUCAGCCACACUGGGACUGAGACACGGCCCAGACUCCUACGGGAGGCAGCAGUGGGGAAUUUUCCGCAAUGGGCGAAAGCCUGACGGAGCAAUACCGCGUGAGGGAGGAAGGCUCUUGGGUCGUAAACCUCUUUUCUCAGGGAAGAACACAAUGACGGUACCUGAGGAAUAAGCAUCGGCUAACUCCGUGCCAGCAGCCGCGGUAAUACGGAGGAUGCAAGCGUUAUCCGGAAUGAUUGGGCGUAAAGCGUCCGCAGGUGGCAAUGUAAGUCUGCUGUUAAAGAGUCUAGCUCAACUAGAUAAGAGCAGUGGAAACUACAUCGCUAGAGUGCGUUCGGGGCAGAGGGAAUUCCUGGUGUAGCGGUGAAAUGCGUAGAGAUCAGGAAGAACACCGGUGGCGAAGGCGCUCUGCUAGGCCGCAACUGACAC
This 567-nucleotide ribosomal RNA is filed under the name Nostoc sp. 'Lobaria pulmonaria cyanobiont'. RNAcentral describes it as "bacterial SSU rRNA". It matches the Rfam family "Bacterial small subunit ribosomal RNA", at positions 149 to 746 of the family's 1533-position model. The record is from RNAcentral. Lineage: Bacteria; Bacillati; Cyanobacteriota; Cyanophyceae; Nostocales; Nostocaceae.